RNAcentral lists this ribosomal RNA (441 nucleotides) under uncultured bacterium. Its description in RNAcentral is "partial 16S ribosomal RNA". It matches the Rfam family "Bacterial small subunit ribosomal RNA", at positions 338 to 795 of the family's 1533-position model. The record is from RNAcentral.
CCUACGGGAGGCAGCAGUGGGGAAUAUUGCACAAUGGGGGGAACCCUGAUGCAGCGACGCCGCGUGGGUGAAGGAGUAUUUCGGUAUGUAAAGCCCUAUCAGCAGGGAAGAACAAUGACGGUACCUGACUAAGAAGCACCGGCUAAAUACGUGCCAGCAGCCGCGGUAAUACGUAUGGUGCAAGCGUUAUCCGGAUUUACUGGGUGUAAAGGGAGCGCAGGCGGCGCGUUAAGCCUGGUGUGAAAGCCCGCGGCCCAACCGCGGGACUGCAUUGGGAACUGGCGCGCUGGAGUGCCGGAGGGGUAGGCGGAAUUCCUAGUGUAGCGGUGAAAUGCGUAGAUAUUAGAAGGAACACCAAUAGCGUAGGCAGGUUACUGGGACGGUUCUGACACUAAGGCACGAAAGCGUAGGGAGCAAACGGGAUUAGAUACCCCAGUAGUC